GACUCCAAGUCCUGGCCACACACGACUGCCACCUUCUACCUCCUUCCUCUGCCUGUCUCUUCCUCUUUGUUUUGUUUCGCAUUCUAUCUCUCAGGCUCGCUCAUGACUCAUGAGUUCUUUCAUGUGCAGGUUGAGGAGUUCUGUCGCCGUAGCAUGGAUGACACCUUGGACUAGCAGAUCGACGAUGUGGACAAAUAAAUCAACACCAUGGACGAGCAGAUCGAUGUAUUGGACGAGCAGAUCGACGUAUUGGACAAGUAAAUUGACGCGUUGGACGAGAAGAUCGAGACCUUGGACGAGCAGAUCGACGCCUUGGCCAUAGGUGGUGGUAGGCAAGGUGGGCGGCACCAAAUCCAUAUCAA
Molecule: long non-coding RNA, 362 nt
Organism: Lolium perenne
Lineage: Eukaryota; Viridiplantae; Streptophyta; Magnoliopsida; Poales; Poaceae
Source: RefSeq, a predicted model, not a curated record